CGUGGAGACAGGUGGUGCAUGGCUGUCGUCAGCUCGUGUCGUGAGAUGUUGGGUUAAGUCCCGCAACGAGCGCAACCCUCACCCCUAGUUGCCACCGGGUUAAGCCGAGCACUCAAGGGGAACUGCCAGCGUCAAGCUGGAGGAGGGCGGGGAUGACGUCAAGUCAUCAUGCCCCUUACGCCCUGGGCUACACACGUGCUACAAUGGCCAGUACAAAGGGACGCGAGACUGCGAAGUGGAGCUAAUCCCAAAAAGCUGGUCUAAGUUCAGAUUGCAGUCUGCAACUCGACUGUAUGAAGGAGGAAUCGCUAGUAAUCGCGUAUCAGCCCGGCGCGGUGAAUACGUUCCCGGGCCUUGUACACACCGCCCGUCACACCACGAAAGCUGUCUGUACUCGAAGUCGCUGAG
RNAcentral lists this ribosomal RNA (408 nucleotides) under uncultured Methylomirabilota bacterium. RNAcentral's name for it is "bacterial SSU rRNA". It matches the Rfam family "Bacterial small subunit ribosomal RNA", at positions 1027 to 1434 of the family's 1533-position model. Lineage: Bacteria; Methylomirabilota (SeqCode). The record is from RNAcentral.